CCUACGGGUGGCAGCAGUGAGGAAUAUUGGUCAAUGGACGCAAGUCUGAACCAGCCAUGCCGCGUGCAGGAAGACGGCUCUAUGAGUUGUAAACUGCUUUUGUACGAGGGUAAACUCAGAUACGCGUAUCUGUCUGAAAGUAUCGUACGAAUAAGGAUCGGCUAACUCCGUGCCAGCAGCCGCGGUAAUACGGAGGAUUCAAGCGUUAUCCGGAUUUAUUGGGUGUAAAGGGUGCGUAGGCGGUCGGAUAAGUUAGAGGUGAAAUCCCGAGGCUCAACUUCGGAAUUGCCUCUGAUACUGUUAGGCUAGAGAGUAGUUGCGGUAGGCGGAAUGUAUGGUGUAGCGGUGAAAUGCUUAGAGAUCAUACAGAACACCGAUUGCGAAGGCAGCUUACCAAGCUACGUCUGACGUUGAGGCACGAAAGCGUGGGGAGCAAACAGGAUUAGAUACCCCUGUAGUC
This 460-nucleotide ribosomal RNA is filed under the name uncultured bacterium. RNAcentral describes it as "partial 16S ribosomal RNA". It matches the Rfam family "Bacterial small subunit ribosomal RNA", at positions 338 to 795 of the family's 1533-position model. The record is from RNAcentral.